GACGGAAGGUGCAAGCGUUGCUCGGAAUCACUGGGCGUAAAGGGUGCGUAGGCGGCUUGGUGGGUCUGGUGUGAAAGCCCCGGGCUCAGCCCGGGAAGGGCACUAGAAACUGCCGAGCUGGAGUGCCGGAGGGGAGAGUGGAAUUCCUGGUGUAGCGGUGAAAUGCGCAGAUAUCAGGAGGAACACCGGUGGCGAAGGCGGGUCUCUGGGCCGAUAUUGACGCUGAGGAGCGAAAGCGUGGGGAGCGAACAGG
RNAcentral lists this ribosomal RNA (253 nucleotides) under uncultured bacterium. RNAcentral's name for it is "partial 16S ribosomal RNA". It matches the Rfam family "Bacterial small subunit ribosomal RNA", at positions 524 to 776 of the family's 1533-position model. The record is from RNAcentral.